CAACAGGUUAAUGAAUGUUCCAUUAUUUGAAAGAAAAUCAAAAUCAAUGUACUUAAAAAAAACCACAGCCAAGAAGAUCAGAACAUUUUACACAAAGCAUCCAAACAAAAUUUUUCAUACUCAAGUGUAACAUUCUAGAAUUGCUUUUCUAAUUCAUUAGUUUAUUCAUCUUAUUUCUCUCCUCUCUCUCAAAUUUCAAGCAAAAAGUGGAGAUUGGAGGGACCAAGGUUGCCCCUCAGUCCUCAGUCUCUCACCCUUCCACAGUUCCACCCUAAGUUAAGUACCCCAGACCGUGAGAAUUUAAUCAAAGUUGAUCAAAGUUGCCAGUUGUUGUCAAAGGAUUAUCCAUUAAGAUAAAAUUCAAUGCCUGCAUCCUAGGAGCAAGUCUCAGCAACUUUUUCGUGGAUGCCAAAGGAGCAAAUAUCGAUUCAUCACCAUUAGGGGUGAGCACUAUUUGG
Molecule: unclassified non-coding RNA, 458 nt
Filed under: Hevea brasiliensis (rubber tree)
Lineage: Eukaryota; Viridiplantae; Streptophyta; Magnoliopsida; Malpighiales; Euphorbiaceae
Source: RNAcentral